GAUGAACGCUAGCGGGAGGCCUAACACAUGCAAGCCGAGCGGUAGAGUUUCUUCGGAAACUUGAGAGCGGCGCACGGGUGCGUAACACGUGUGCAACCUACCUUUAUCUGGGGGAUAGCCUUUCGAAAGGAAGAUUAAUACCCCAUAAUAUAAUGAUUGGCAUCAAUUAUUAUUGAAAACUCCGGUGGAUAGAGAUGGGCACGCGCAAGAUUAGAUAGUUGGUGAGGUAACGGCUCACCAAGUAAAUGAUCUUUAGGGGUCCUGAGAGGGAGAUCCCCCACACUGGUACUGAGACACGGACCAGACUGCUACGGGAGGCAGCAGUGAGGAAGAUUGGACAAUGGGUGAGAGCCUGAUCCAGCCAUCCCGCGUGAAGGAUGACGGUCCUAUGGAUUGUAAACUUCUUUUGUACAGGGAUAAACCUACCCUCGGGAGGGUAGCUGAAGGUACUGUACGAAUAAGCACCGGCUAACUCCGUG
Molecule: ribosomal RNA, 479 nt
Filed under: uncultured bacterium
Lineage: Bacteria
Description: partial 16S ribosomal RNA
Rfam family: Bacterial small subunit ribosomal RNA
Source: RNAcentral